This 401-nucleotide long non-coding RNA is filed under the name Olea europaea subsp. europaea. The record is from RNAcentral. Lineage: Eukaryota; Viridiplantae; Streptophyta; Magnoliopsida; Lamiales; Oleaceae.
UACUGCUCUUCAAAAUCUCAUUAAAAAAUGCACAGGAUACAUAUUUUGAAGCACUGACUAAUUCAAAUACCAAAUUUCAAUAUUUAAUCGAAAAAGAAAAGAGCAAUUAAGAAACCUGUUGUAGAAAUUGGUGGAGAGGUUUAUGAAGGUCAGAAGGCCCAAUUUCUGGUAGAGAUUGGUUUGAUCAAUGGCAAAACCUUUCCUUUCAUAAUAAUACAUAUACACAACAUAAAUAUACAUGUAUUUACAGAUUCGGUGCAGAAAAAAUUACAGAUAAAAAAUGGAAGAAAUGCAAACGAAAAUAUGAGAAAUUUUUACAGGAAUUUCCACCUCUUCAAGCAAUUUCCUAGCCGAUCUGAGGAGCUGAAUCGAGGAGAAUAGGAAAUCAUGGGAGUUGAAGA